RNAcentral lists this ribosomal RNA (459 nucleotides) under uncultured bacterium. Its description in RNAcentral is "partial 16S ribosomal RNA". It matches the Rfam family "Bacterial small subunit ribosomal RNA", at positions 338 to 795 of the family's 1533-position model. The record is from RNAcentral.
CCUACGGGAGGCAGCAGUGAGGAAUAUUGGUCAAUGGUCGGGAGACUGAACCAGCCAAGCCGCGUGAGGGAUGAAGGUACAGAGUAUCGUAAACCUCUUUUGUCAGGGAACAAAGGCGGGGACGUGUCCCCGGAUGAGUGUACCUGAAGAAAAAGCAUCGGCUAACUCCGUGCCAGCAGCCGCGGUAAUACGGAGGAUGCGAGCGUUGUCCGGAUUUGUUGGGUUGAAAGGGUGCGCAGGCGGUCUGUAAAGUCAGCGGUCAAACCCCGGGGCUCAACCCCGGCCCGCCGUUGAGACUGGCAGUCUCGAGUUGGAGAGAAGUAGGCGGAAUGCGCGGUGUAGCGGUGAAAUGCAUAGAUAUCGCGCAGAACUCCGAUUGCGAAGGCAGCAUGCCGGCUCCACACUGACGCUGAGGCACGAAAGCGUGGGUAUCGAACAGGAUUAGAUACCCCAGUAGUC